Molecule: ribosomal RNA, 390 nt
Filed under: uncultured Glomeromycotina
Lineage: Eukaryota; Fungi; Glomeromycota
Description: SSU rRNA
Rfam family: Eukaryotic small subunit ribosomal RNA
Source: RNAcentral
GACGAACCAUGAUGUUCAUUUAUUUGGUGUUGUGGGGAAUCAGGACUGUUACUUUGAAAAAAUUAGAGUGUUUAAAGCAGGCUCACGCUUGAAUACAUUAGCAUGGAAUAAUGAAAUAGGACGUUUGAUUCUAUUUUGUUGGUUUCUAGGAUCGACGUAAUGAUUAAUAGGGAUAGUUGGGGGCAUUAGUAUUCAAUUGUCAGAGGUGAAAUUCUUGGAUUUAUUGAAGACUAACUACUGCGAAAGCAUUUGCCAAGGAUGUUUUCAUUAAUCAAGAACGAAAGUUAGGGGAUCGAAGACGAUCAGAUACCGUCGUAGUCUUAACCAUAAACUAUGCCGACUAGGGAUCGGAUGAUGUUAAUUUUUUAAUGACUCAUUCGGCGCCUUACG